Molecule: ribosomal RNA, 492 nt
Filed under: uncultured bacterium
Lineage: Bacteria
Description: partial 16S ribosomal RNA
Rfam family: Bacterial small subunit ribosomal RNA
Source: RNAcentral
AGUGAACGCUGGCGGUAGGCCUAACACAUGCAAGUCGAACGGCAGCACAGUAAGAGCUUGCUCUUACGGGUGGCGAGUGGCGGACGGGUGAGGAAUACAUCGGAAUCUACUUUUUCGUGGGGGAUAACGUAGGGAAACUUACGCUAAUACCGCAUACGACCUACGGGUGAAAGCAGGGGAUCUUCGGACCUUGCGCGAUUGAAUGGGCCGAUGUCGGAUUAGCCAGUUGGCGGGGUAAAGGCCCACCAAGGCGACGAUCCGUAGCUGGUCUGAGAGGAUGAUCAGCCACACUGGAACUGAGACACGGUCCAGACUCCUACGGGAGGCAGCAGUGGGGAAUAUUGGACAAUGGGCGCAAGCCUGAUCCAGCCAUACCGCGUGGGUGAAGAAGGCCUUCGGGUUGUAAAGCCCUUUUGUUGGGAAAGAAAAGCAGCAGGUUAAUACCCCGCUGUUCUGACGGUACCCAAAGAAUAAGCACCGGCUAACUUCGUG